RNAcentral lists this ribosomal RNA (492 nucleotides) under uncultured bacterium. Its description in RNAcentral is "partial 16S ribosomal RNA". It matches the Rfam family "Bacterial small subunit ribosomal RNA", at positions 29 to 507 of the family's 1533-position model. The record is from RNAcentral.
AGUGAACGCUGGCGGUAGGCCUAACACAUGCAAGUCGAACGGCAGCACAGUAAGAGCUUGCUCUUACGGGUGGCGAGUGGCGGACGGGUGAGGAAUACAUCGGAAUCUACUUUUUCGUGGGGGAUAACGUAGGGAAACUUACGCUAAUACCGCAUACGACCUACGGGUGAAAGCAGGGGAUCUUCGGACCUUGCGCGAUUGAAUGAGCCGAUGUCGGAUUAGCUAGUUGGCGGGGUAAAGGCCCACCAAGGCGACGAUCCGUAGCUGGUCUGAGAGGAUGAUCAGCCACACUGGAACUUGGACACGGUCCAGACUACUACGGGAGGCAGCAGUGUGGAAUAUUGGACAAUGGGCGCAAGCCUGAUCCAGCCAUACCGCGUGGGUGAAGAAGGCCUUCGGGUUGUAAAGCCCUUUUGUUGGGAGAGAAAAGCAGCAGGUUAAUACCCCGCGGUUCUGACGGUACCCAAAGAAUAAGCACCGGCUAACUUCGUG